UACGAAGGGGGCUAGCGUUGCUCGGAAUCACUGGGCGUAAAGGGUGUGUAGGCGGUUGUUUAAGUUUGGUGUGAAAUCUCCCGGCUCAACUGGGAGGGUGCGCCGAAUACUGAAUGACUUGGAGUGCGGGAGAGGUGAGUGGAAUUCCUGGUGUAGCGGUGAAAUGCGUAGAUAUCAGGAGGAACACCGGUGGUGUAGACGGCUCACUGGACCGUAACUGACGCUGAGACACGAAAGCGUGGGUAGCAAACAGG
RNAcentral lists this ribosomal RNA (254 nucleotides) under uncultured bacterium. RNAcentral describes it as "partial 16S ribosomal RNA". It matches the Rfam family "Bacterial small subunit ribosomal RNA", at positions 524 to 776 of the family's 1533-position model. The record is from RNAcentral.